AGUGAACGCUGGCGGUAGGCCUAACACAUGCAAGUCGAACGGCAGCACAGUAAGAGCUUGCUCUUACGGGUGGCGAGUGGCGGACGGGUGAGGAAUACAUCGGAAUCUACUUUUUCGUGGGGGAUAACGUAGGGAAACUUACGCUAAUACCGCAUACGACCUACGGGUGAAAGCAGGGGAUAUUCAGACCUUGCGCGAUUGAAUGAGCCGAUGUCGGAUUAACUAGUUGGCGGGGUAAAGGCCCACCAAGGAGACGUUCCUUAGCUGGUCUGAGAGGAAGAGCAGCCACACUGGACCUGGACCCCGGUCCAGCCUCCUCCGGGAGGCACCAUUGGGGAAUAUUGGACAAUGGGGGCAAUCCUGAUCCAGCCAUACCGCGUGGUUGAAGAAGGCUUUCGGGUUUUAAAGCCCUUUUGUUGGGAAAGAAAAGCAGCAGGUUAAUACCCCGCUGUUCUGACGGUACCCAAAGAAUAAGCACCGGCUAACUUCGUG
Molecule: ribosomal RNA, 492 nt
Filed under: uncultured bacterium
Lineage: Bacteria
Description: partial 16S ribosomal RNA
Rfam family: Bacterial small subunit ribosomal RNA
Source: RNAcentral